CGGCUCAGUAACACGUGGAUAACCUGCCCUUGGGUCCGGCAUAACCCCGGGAAACUGGGGAUAAUUCCGGAUAACGCACAUAUGCUGGAAUGCUUUAUGCGUCAAAUGGAUUCGUCCGCCCAAGGAUGGGUCUGCGGCCUAUCAGGUAGUAGUGGGUGUAAUGUACCUACUAGCCUACGACGGGUACGGGUUGUGAGAGCAAGAGCCCGGAGAUGGAUUCUGAGACAUGAAUCCAGGCCCUACGGGGCGCAGCAGGCGCGAAAACUUUACAAUGCGGGAAACCGUGAUAAGGGGACACCGAGUGCCAGCAUCAUAUGCUGGCUGUCCGGGUGUGUAAAAUACACCUGUUAGCAAGGGCCGGGCAAGACCGGUGCCAGCCGCCGCGGUAACACCGGCGGCCCGAGUGGUGAUCGUGAUUAUUGGGUCUAAAGGGUCCGUAGCCGGUUUGGUCAGUCCUCCGGGAAAUCUGACGGCUCAACCGUUAGGCUUUCGGGGGAUACUGCCAGACUUGGAACCGGGAGAGGUAAGAGGUACUACAGGGGUAGGAGUGAAAUCUUGUAAUCCCUGUGGGACCACCUGUGGCGAAGGCGUCUUACCAGAACGGGUUCGACGGUGAGGGACGAAAGCUGGGGGCACGAACCGGAUUAGAUACCCGGGUAGUCC
This 663-nucleotide ribosomal RNA is filed under the name uncultured Methanosarcina sp. Its description in RNAcentral is "bacterial SSU rRNA". It matches the Rfam family "Archaeal small subunit ribosomal RNA", at positions 83 to 747 of the family's 1478-position model. Lineage: Archaea; Methanobacteriati; Methanobacteriota; Methanomicrobia; Methanosarcinales; Methanosarcinaceae. The record is from RNAcentral.